Molecule: ribosomal RNA, 149 nt
Filed under: Yamadazyma sp. 13Y203
Lineage: Eukaryota; Fungi; Ascomycota; Pichiomycetes; Serinales; Debaryomycetaceae
Description: partial 26S ribosomal RNA
Rfam family: Eukaryotic large subunit ribosomal RNA
Source: RNAcentral
UGGCAAAAGCUCAAAUUUGAAAUCUGGCACCUUCAGUGUCCGAGUUGUAAUUUGAAGAAGGUAUCUUUGGAUUUGGCUCUUGUCUAUGUUCCUUGGAACAGGACGUCACAGAGGGUGAGAAUCCCGUGCGAUGAGAUGCCCCAUUCCAU